CUGCAAUGCGCGCAAGCGUGACAGAGUGAGUCAAAGUGCCUGCCAUUAGGUAGGCUUUUGUGGAAUGUAAAAAGUCUACGAAUAAGGACUGGGUAAGACUAGUGCCAGCCGCCGCGGUAAUACUAGCGGUCCAAGUCGCAGCCAUUCUUAUUGGGUCUAAAACAUCCGUAGCUUGCUUGAUAAGUUUUCUGUGAAAUCUCAUAUCUCAAGUAUAAGAAUUGUGGAAAAUACUGUCAAGCUAGAGACCGGGAGACGUAAAGAGUACGUCUAAAGUAGCGGUAAAAUGUGUUGAUCUUAGGCGGACUGACGAUAGCGAAGGCACUUUACGAGAACGGUUCUGACAGUAAGGGAUGAAGGCUAGGGGCGCAAAACGGAUUAGAUACCCGUGUAGUCCUAGCAGUAAACACUGCACACUAAACCUUGUGAUCUCUUCGAGAGAUUGCAGGGCUGCAGGGAAGCCGAAGAGUGUGCUACCUGGGAAGUAUAGUCGCAAGGCUGAAACUUAAAGGAAUUGGCGGGGAGACACUACAACGGGUGACGCGUGCGGUUCAAUUAGAUUAUACACCGUGAACCUCACCAGGAGCGACAGCAGAAUGAAGGUCAGUCUAAAGGGCUUACCUGACACGCUGAGAGGGGUUGCAUGGCCGACGUCAGCCUGUGCUGUGAGGCGAUCUGUUAAAUCAGAUAACAGGCAAGACCCACAUCUUUAUUUACUAC
This 717-nucleotide ribosomal RNA is filed under the name uncultured euryarchaeote. RNAcentral describes it as "bacterial SSU rRNA". It matches the Rfam family "Archaeal small subunit ribosomal RNA", at positions 350 to 1070 of the family's 1478-position model. Lineage: Archaea; Methanobacteriati; Methanobacteriota. The record is from RNAcentral.